RNAcentral lists this long non-coding RNA (580 nucleotides) under Pan troglodytes (chimpanzee). Its description in RNAcentral is "lincRNA". The record is from RNAcentral. Lineage: Eukaryota; Metazoa; Chordata; Mammalia; Primates; Hominidae.
CAGAAUAUCCUUGCUGUGCCAAGAAAGAAAAGACCAUGGAUCUACUAGUUGCAGAUUUCAGCAGUAAUGCCAAGGGGGCAAGAAGUGACCAGCAGAACAAUUAGGCCGUGGCAGCAGAAGCCAACUACAACCCAUGUUCCAAUCUAUGACCUCCCUCUCCUGCUGGUACAAGGAUAUGAUCUGGAGUCUGGGAAGUUCAAGAGCAUGGCACCAACAUCUGGCAAGGGCUUUCAUGCUGCAUCAUCUCAUGGAGGAAAAUAAAAGGGAGGCUGGAUGCUCCUGUGAAGUACGUCUUCUAUCUACUUGCUAUCUUUGCAAUUCCUUCAUGCUACAAUGAGAGAUAGAGUUUAAACCUGAAAACAUUCUUGGAAAAGGAACCUUCAUUAAUUCAAAUAUACCACAAGGUUCUGCCACUGUGGCCAUCACCUGGGAUUGGAGAAAGGCAAAUGGAACAGACCAACUCAGAAUUACAGUCCUCGUUUAUUUCAUCAGAGGUUGGCCUGUACUUACAUUAGCCCUUUCUGGCUAGAGCUUCAUGUCUCACCCAUUGUCUGUUCACUUCUGACCUGAAACAAUGGGA